RNAcentral lists this ribosomal RNA (484 nucleotides) under Rahnella sp. Its description in RNAcentral is "bacterial SSU rRNA". It matches the Rfam family "Bacterial small subunit ribosomal RNA", at positions 61 to 534 of the family's 1533-position model. The record is from RNAcentral. Lineage: Bacteria; Pseudomonadati; Pseudomonadota; Gammaproteobacteria; Enterobacterales; Yersiniaceae.
GUCGAGCGGCAGCGGGAAGUAGCUUGCUACUUUGCCGGCGAGCGGCGGACGGGUGAGUAAUGUCUGGGAAACUGCCUGAUGGAGGGGGAUAACUACUGGAAACGGUAGCUAAUACCGCAUGACCUCGAAAGAGCAAAGUGGGGGAUCUUCGGACCUCACGCCAUCGGAUGUGCCCAGAUGGGAUUAGCUAGUAGGUGAGGUAAUGGCUCACCUAGGCGACGAUCCCUAGCUGGUCUGAGAGGAUGACCAGCCACACUGGAACUGAGACACGGUCCAGACUCCUACGGGAGGCAGCAGUGGGGAAUAUUGCACAAUGGGCGCAAGCCUGAUGCAGCCAUGCCGCGUGUGUGAAGAAGGCCUUAGGGUUGUAAAGCACUUUCAGCGAGGAGGAAGGCAUCACACUUAAUACGUGUGGUGAUUGACGUUACUCGCAGAAGAAGCACCGGCUAACUCCGUGCCAGCAGCCGCGGUAAUACGGAGGGUG